GACGGAGGAUGCAAGCGUUAUCCGGAAUGAUUGGGCGUAAAGCGUCCGCAGGUGGCAGUUCAAGUCUGCUGUCAAAGACCGGGGCUCGACCUCGGAAAGGCAGUGGAAACUGAACAGCUAGAGUAUGGUAGGGGCAGAGGGAAUUCCUGGUGUAGCGGUGAAAUGCGUAGAGAUCAGGAAGAACACUCGUGGCGAAAGCGAGCUACUGGACAAUAUCUGACGCUGAGGCUCGAAGGCCAGGGUAGCGAAAGGG
This 253-nucleotide ribosomal RNA is filed under the name uncultured bacterium. Its description in RNAcentral is "partial 16S ribosomal RNA". It matches the Rfam family "Bacterial small subunit ribosomal RNA", at positions 524 to 776 of the family's 1533-position model. The record is from RNAcentral.